CACACAAUGAAUAUAUAAAAGUAACAACUUGGAAUCACAAUGUAGAAAAAUAAAGUAUUUAUCAGAAUAACAUGAAAGAGUUUAAACUGGUUUAAAGUGCAUUAAGGUAUCUGAAUGUUAAAACUGAUUUAUCAACUUCCUUCAUGUCUCUGAUCAUUAUUAUUUCAUCCAUUCAUUCAUAUUAAAUAAUUAUCAACUGAUUUCAAAGAUCAUCACUUUGGUAUAGUU
Sander lucioperca (pikeperch) is the source of this 228-nucleotide long non-coding RNA. RefSeq lists it as uncharacterized. Lineage: Eukaryota; Metazoa; Chordata; Actinopteri; Perciformes; Percidae. The record is from RefSeq and is a predicted model, not a curated record. The transcript is spliced from 2 exons.